Molecule: non-coding RNA, 4489 nt
Organism: Lactuca sativa (garden lettuce)
Lineage: Eukaryota; Viridiplantae; Streptophyta; Magnoliopsida; Asterales; Asteraceae
Source: RefSeq, a predicted model, not a curated record
AAGGGGGAAAUGAAAUCCUCUUAAAAUUCUAAAAUAUUUUAAUACCCCGCUUCCCCCUUGAUUCUCUUCUUCCUUUCUCUCUACAAACCCUAAUCACCAUACGAUCUCUGCUAUACACCUCGAAAACUCAUAUAAUCGUUCUAUAAUUUUUUUCUUAAAAACUCGUGUUCCCUCUCUUUCAUUUUCACUUCCAUCCCUCGAAUUUUCCUCCUGGUUCUGCCCUCUUUCCUCGUCCUCAACUCAUCCAUUCUUCUUCCAAUGAAUUUAUUUGCCACACCAGCAGCUCCCGCCGAUACACCAUCAUCGGCUCCAGAUAACCCUACCGCCGACAUGGAUUCCUGUAUGAAGAAAUCAAUCAACCUUCGUUUUCAUCGAUCCAUACAAGUAGGACAAAGCUCGAAAAUGGUAGUAGUUCAAAGAGUCAAUUUGGUUUCAUAGGGUUUAUGGUAUCAACUCAGGGUUUGGGUUCAUGUCCGCUUUCUAAGGAGCCCCAAAACCUGAUCCUUACAUGAUCAAGAUCAUCUACCACGCCAUUAGGGAGCCAAAUCGUAGAACCAAGAAGAUAUAGAUGAUGAUUGCACUCGAAUUAUUCUCUAUUUCAUUGACCAUCAAGCUUUGGUUCCAGAAUAGAAGAUUUUGUUAUCUACUUUUUGGUGGGAUUUCUAUCAGUUUCAAUUUUAAUUUAAGAUGAACUGAUCAAGUGCACGUGAGGUGUUUGAUGAAAUGCUCGAGUGAGUGUAGACAAUAAUUUCUUUCAUCUUUUGGCUGUGUAAAGAUGGAGGUGGUCAGAUGGGUAAGGAUGGAACCAGUAAUGUUUCAUAUACCCUAAAUUGUAGACUUUUGUUUGGUGAAUCACCAUCAUAUAGUAUGGUUGGAUGAGGACUCAAGUGGCCUAUCAUGGAACCAACUAUUGAUAUCCCUGAUGCUCAUGGCUCUGUGAAGAAUUUGGAUUCUGAGUUCUAGUUCUUUGUUUAUUGGUUAAUCAUGUUGAUGUCAUACUUUAUACACAAAUUUUACAUAUUUAACUUUGUUUCCUUCACUUUUCCCUCUUCUAGACUCUCAUCAGUGUUCUAGUCUAAUGUUGAUGGAUGUGAAAUGAUAAGGUAAAGAGGGGUUUCUUGAUGAAAUUAUAAAAAUGAUCACUAUAUCUUCACUGGUAAACUUAUCUAUUUUUUCCUUUUUAAAUAAAAUAACCCUACCCUUUGCUGACAGUUUGUAAUUUAUGUAGGUAGAUUCACUUUUUUAUGAUCAUACGGAUUUUCUUGAUGAAUUACCAAAUUUUUUUAUCAUAUUCUGCUGCUGUUGCAUCUGCACAUCAAGCUUCAUUAGGGCAACAUGCAUAUGAUCGGAGCUGAGGUGGGGUCCAACGCAAACUGGCACAGGUGGAUAAGCAACGAGGGAUAGGGUCAAUGGUCCACAUGUUGAAAGGGACAUGAUUGUUGAUUGUCCUGAUAUGGAUGAUAAACCAAUUAUGAAACUUCACAAGGAUUAGAGGCAGAAGGAGAAUAGGGAGAGGAGAAAUAGUGAUCAUCCUGAUCUUAAAAACAGGGAUAGGGAUAUCCAACAAAAAAUUGCAUGUAAAGUGGAAGAUUUUGGAGUACAUUCAGAUUCAGCUCCAUAUGGUGAUAAAGAUGCCCUCAAAAGAAACCAAAAAUGAAAAGCAGGAUUUUAAGCUACAUUUGGACAAGCAGAAAAUCAAAACUUAUUUAUACACCCAACACAAGAGAGGGAGAGACAGACAGCUAGUUACCUCCAAGCCAGCAUAAACUGCAACAAAAAGUGCAUAUCCAGCAGGGCCAUAUCCUGUGAGAAAGAUUAUCAAGCAUUCUUGAAAUGCCUUCAUAUAUACGGUUGCUGAUUUAUUUGGGAAGCAUGCAGAUCUUAUGGAAGGAUCCAAUGCAUUUUUGGAACGUUGUGAAAACAUAGGUGGCUUCAGAUUAUAUAAUUUUUGUUUUACUCUUUGAGAACUUCUUUUGUAUUGUUACUAAUUUAUCUUGUUUGCAGAUGAAAAAAUGGAGGGUGUAUGAAUUAAGACAUGUCAUUUUCCACUAUUGCCCUUAUAUUUUUUCCAAGCUAUUUGACGUUUUCAUGAUAAUAGGAUUUUAUUUCUUGUUUUAUUUUUCUUAAAUUUCAACAAAUCCCCUGGACAUCAUUUCCUGUCCGUAUACAAAAGUGCAAAAAAAAAAAAGAUAUAAGUCAUACUAUCUAUUAAAUUAUAAUGAAAUCAAAUUCCCUUUUAAUUGCUAUUGUUUUUUAAUUUGUAAUCAACCCUUCAAAUUGUUUUUAAUAUGUAUUAAUUGCUAUUACUUUUUUUUUUAAUUUUUUGUAUUCUUUUUUUUGGAGGCUAUCAUAUUAAUAUGUAAUCCAUUGUUUUUGUAUAUUUUAAUAAGUUAACAUCUCUAUUUAAUAUCUCUAUUUAUUAUCAUUUAAAAAAACAUCUCUAUUUAAUAUUUAGACUAUAUUAAUAGAACAAAAAAAAAUAAACAACACUAUAUACGGAAGAGGCAGUAACUCAACAGACCCAAAAUCAAAAUCAGUUGUAGGUGUCGAGAUUACACAUCAGCCGCCAGGUCAGCAACCAAAAACCGCCCCUCAACCAGACAGAAACACAUUCCCUCAACAUGGGUUUAGAUUAAUGGGUGGUUUUGGGUUAUAAUCAUGACAAGUGUAUUUUUUCAGCUUAUGUUGGUUGCGAUAGUUAUAAUUUUUUUAAUGGAUUCAUGGAGGUACCUAUGUUGGUAGCUAAGCUUCUUGUUAUCUACAAGCAUAGAGAUUUACAUUUCUACCCCAAUUGGGUUUACACACUUCCUUCAUGGAUUUUAAGUAUUCCAUCAUCAAUCAUAGAAUCUGGUGUUUGGGUUGUGGUCACAUACUAUCUUGUUGGCUUUGAUCCCUAAUUUUCUAGAUGUUUGAAGGAGUUUGGGGUGUAUUUCUCUUUGCAUCAAAUAUCAACUGAGGUUAGAUAAACAGGAAACCCUUCAGGCUUCUCCCCUUUGGAGUUUAACCAGAAUUAACAAAUGAUGAGAUGAAAAUUCUUAGAAGACUUGGAAGGCCUUUACCAUGUCAUUUUGCUUUAGGUAGAAAUAGGAAACAUCAAGGAUUGGAUGUAGCUAUUCUAAAGCUUUGGGAGAAAUGUGAGAUUGCAAAGAUUGGUGUUAAGAAAGGAGUACAUAAUACUAACACUGAGCUAAUGGCUAAAGAAUUACAGUGGUUAACUGGGGGAACCUUAAUUACACGCGAUAAGGAGUAUAUUGUUCUUUAUAGAGUACCCAAUUCCUUCAACAAACACUUUUUUUAAGAACAAAGAUCGGUUACUCCAGAGACUCAGAUCAGAUGUGUCGCCAUGAACCUCGUGUUCUUCUGCACAUACAAAUUUGAGUGUAAAAUUCCAGAGUCAUCGUAGCAGGGACUAAAGAAAUCCUAUGCUUCUUGUUGCAUCUUCAGCAAUAGAUGCUACUGGUUAGUCCAGUUUAGGUUUAGAUGGAAAGAAGAUUGAAUCUGAGGGUAAUGUUCUUCUUGCUUCUAUUAAAAACAUGCAGUUAUUUUCUCUUUUGGGCAUGUUUUAAAGAUAGCAAUGUUUGACAAAAGUGGUGGAGUUCAAGCUCUAAUUCAAUACCCUGACAGCUAUUGUAGCCAAGGAAGCAUUGGAAGGACACUGUAUAUAUGAUGGAGGGUUUUGCAGCUGAAGAAAGCCUUUAAUAAAAAUUAUAUAAAUUUACUGGAAGCCUGUAUCAAGUCUAACUACCCAUGUGUCCCAUUGGAGGAAGCUCAAGGUUCUUUACUUCUCUUACACUGCAAUAAUCCAUCUUCACACUUAUUUUGUAGUUAUGUUUUUUUUGUAGGCAAUAUAGAUAUUGUGAGUAAGUUCAUAGAUUUAGAGUCAUUGAGUGGUGUUAUUAAGGAAGAGUGGAGACAAGUAAGGCACACAUUUAAAAAAAUCAGUACAAAUCUUGUUUACAGUGAGGCACACAUUAGCUAGGUUAUUAAAACUAUUAGUUUGUAAAUUUCUGUUACAACUUCUAUUGAUUUGUUUUAUUUUUCUAUAUAUGGAACGAAUAUUUGUAUGACAUUAAAUUUUAUGUAAUGGAUUGUAUUUUUUUGUAUAUGAUAUUUUAUUUUCUAUUAUGAGACAUUAAAUACAAAUUUAAUUUGAAAAUUAGUAAACCUAUAAAUAAUAUUAAUUUUAAACAUUUAAAAUUAUGAUACACAAAAAUGUGUGUCAUCUUCAUUUAUGACAUGACCUUUCUUGACAAGGGCUUUCUUGAUACGUAUUGCGUGUCAUUAACACGCAUGUCAUAAGGUUACGACACGCGAAUGCGUGUCGUCUUCCUUUAUGACAGGGCCUUCCUUGAUACGCAUUGCGUGUCGUAAACGUGCGUCGUCAUUGAGCGUCGUAAAUGCGCGUCGUCUCUCUUUAUGACAGGGCCUUUCUUGACACACAUUUGCGUGUCGUUUGAGCCUUUUACGAAGCGCAAUGAGCGUCUUAAAA